RNAcentral lists this ribosomal RNA (400 nucleotides) under uncultured bacterium. RNAcentral's name for it is "bacterial SSU rRNA". It matches the Rfam family "Bacterial small subunit ribosomal RNA", at positions 356 to 773 of the family's 1533-position model. The record is from RNAcentral.
GGGGAAUAUUGCACAAUGGGCGAAAGCCUGAUGCAGCAACGCCGCGUGAGUGAUGACGGUCUUCGGAUUGUAAAGCUCUGUCUUUUGGGACGAUAAUGACGGUACCAAAGGAGGAAGCCACGGCUAACUACGUGCCAGCAGCCGCGGUAAUACGUAGGUGGCAAGCGUUGUCCGGAUUUACUGGGCGUAAAGAAUGUGUAGGCGGAUACUUAAGUGAGAUGUGAAAGCCCCGGGCUCAACCUGAGGACUGCAGUUCAAACUGGGUAUCUAGAGUGCAGGAGAGGAAAGCGGAAUUCCUAGUGUAGCGGUGAAAUGCGUAGAGGUUAGGAAGAACAUCAGUGGCGAAGGCGGCUUUCUGGACUGUAACUGACGCUGAGGCAUGAAAGCGUGGGGAGCGAAC